UACGUAGGGUGCGAGCGUUAAUCGGAAUUACUGGGCGUAAAGCGUGCGCAGGCGGUUCGCUGUGUCCGAUGUGAAAGCCCCGGGCUUAACCUGGGAAUGGCAUUGGAAACUGGCGGGCUUGAGUGCGGCAGAGGGGGGUGGAAUUCCCGGUGUAGUGGUGAAAUGCGUAGAGAUCGGGAGGAACACCAGUGGCGAAGGCGGCCCCCUGGGCCGCUCCUGACGCUGAGACGCGAAGGCGCGGGGAGCGAACGGG
Molecule: ribosomal RNA, 253 nt
Filed under: uncultured bacterium
Lineage: Bacteria
Description: partial 16S ribosomal RNA
Rfam family: Bacterial small subunit ribosomal RNA
Source: RNAcentral